CAACACUUCACCGGUCUUAACUUCAUAGAGAGAAAUACGACAAAGAACUUCUCAUGGAAUUCCAGCCACUUUCCCUGACUCGUGCUGAUUUUGUAGAGCCUCACUGUCUCUUGUGGAUCGUGCUACUGCUAACUGAUUUGUGCUUGAUGUUUGCUGUUGACCUUGACUGCUGGUAUCCUGACAGUGAAGAAAAGAAUUUCCCCAAAGAACUACUUCUAAACAGGAACCUAGCAUAACUGUCUCCUGAGAGACUUCAUCCAGCAACAGAUGGACGCAGUUGCAGAGACCUGCACUCAAACAUCAGCAACCAGGACCACCUACCCAGGAAUAGUACUGCCCAAAAUGUCCUCCAACAUCAAUCAUUAAUCAGAAAAUUGAGGUUCUGUCAUUCAACAUGACUUUAGCUUGCAUCCUAUUGACAUAAAACUAGACAGCAAAACAUCUAACCAAAUGAUGGAUAAACACUUGGCUGAGAAAGGAAUGAAGAGUAGAGGAACACUCAUGCUUGUUGGAAAAGAUCUAAGACUCUUUUUGAGUAGACUACAAGUAUCACCACAACAAAGGUAUAAUGUGGGAGUGUAUGAAUGCCACAGUAUAUGUCUGAGGCUCAGAAGACGACACAGUGCAGUCAGAUUUCUCAUUCUGCUUUUGUAUGGGUUCUGGGGCCUCAGGUUUCCAGGCAUCUGGAGCAAGAGCCUUUACCACCUGAGUCAUCUUGGUGCCUCUCUGGGUCUCAAAAUGAUGCUGAUGAAAAUGCUACUGCUGCUGCUGCUGCUGGUGAUGGUGGUGAUGGUAGUUGUGGGGAUGGUAAUGGUACCUAAGGGUUUUGUUUCCCUUCAGCUCUAACCCAUGUCUUCUGGGAUUACUCCAUUAUACAGCAUAAAGAGAGGCAGGUUAGUGCAGUGGAGGUAAGCGAUGAGGAGCUGCUAGCCUAUAAGGGAUAUUUUAUAGGGCCCCAACCCCUAACAGUAGAUUUAGGAGGUAGGCAGGGUACUAGAGCUGAAUAUUUAGUUGUGGCAUAAGUCACUGUAUUUACGUCCUAAGAGAAAGAAAUCACAUGAGAAAGAGAGAGAUCUGCUGGAUAAAGUGCCUCUAGGAGAAGAUAAUCUGGGACAAGCUUCAUCUAUAGUAGAUUUACUUCAUAUGAGUGUCUGAACAACUAACCCCAUAGAAGUUGGACAGAGUACUUGUCUACACCUCAGUCUACAGAGGUGAAGGUACAACCUGCCAGGAUUGUGGUAACACCAUGAGGGUCAUGGUAGAGAAGCAUAUGAAAGCCCUUGCUUUUGCUUGCUUUCACCAGCAAAACUGACUGUUAGCCUUUGAAAACUGACUCGCUCAUGUGGAUGAGGUCCUUGCCAAGCUGUCAUCUUCUCUGUGAAGUCCUUCUGGGUGGGGUAACCAUGAGGACUUACAUACUCUGGUAAAGCUAGUUCCUGGAUAUUAGAAAUGAGUACUGCAGCAACCUGGGGUAUUGGUGUUGAGUUCAUUUACUCUGCUUAAUGGUACUGAAAUUGAAUACCUAAGACUGGGUAAUAUAAAAUGUCCUAGAGGCUGAGAUAUCAGGAUGUGUACCAUGAGGGCCUUCCUGCUCAGUCAUCGUGUGGUGGAUGGUAUCACAGGGUGGAAUGUGGUAGAAGAAUCAAUCAAGGAACAGGUUCUGUCUAUCCUCUUCUUUUGAUCAGCUAAUAUCACCAUGAGGGCUGUGACUUUAUGAUUUCUCUAACUCUGAUUGUGUGCCCUCUACCAGAGGCUGCCCUUUAAAUAACAUCAUUAUAUGAAUUUAUGAACUAAGGCUUUAUGUUUGCAACAGAAGGAAUUUUAGGACAACCUCAAGCCUUAUCAGAGCUGUCUUCUUUGUUAAUCUAAGGCAAGUGUCAGCUACAUGGUACACUUCUCCAAACUGCUGCUUUCCUUUGUAGCAAUUAGCACAAGCCUGUCCUAGUGAUGUGAAUGCCUCACCAGGCCUGUGUUUCUAGCACCUGCCUCUUACUUGGUCCACAUUGCUAUGCAGUGCACAUUUAUAGAAAGAACAAUAGUAUAUCCUUCCUUCCCCCAAAAUGAUCUUUCUGUGCCUCUAGGUCUUGGCUCAUGGCAUUCCUUGUUCCAUAAGUGUUUUAUGCUGCCUUCUUUGUCUAAAAACCUAUUUACUCUUGACAACCAACUCAGACAUCAGUUCCUUUUAACCUGUAGGAAGUAGCCUGGUUUCUGAAGACCUCCUGCAUGCCACAAUAUUUGUUGGGUAAAUGACUCUAUAUUUGUCUCUGUAAAUGUCAGUUUUACUGGCUUUGGUCCAUCUCUUUUGAAUUAUUUUUGAUUCCUUAUUUGUGAUCUAAUCUAUUAGUGACCUGUAACAGGCCAUGUCACCCUCAAUUAAAUAAAUGUGCACUCCGUGGA
Rattus norvegicus (Norway rat) is the source of this 2397-nucleotide non-coding RNA. NCBI's taxonomy places the organism in Eukaryota, Metazoa, Chordata, Mammalia, Rodentia, Muridae. The record is from RefSeq and is a predicted model, not a curated record.